RNAcentral lists this ribosomal RNA (443 nucleotides) under uncultured bacterium. Its description in RNAcentral is "partial 16S ribosomal RNA". It matches the Rfam family "Bacterial small subunit ribosomal RNA", at positions 338 to 795 of the family's 1533-position model. The record is from RNAcentral.
CCUACGGGUGGCAGCAGUGGGGAAUAUUGGGUAAUGGGCGCAAGCCUGACCCAGCAACGCCGCGUGAAGGAAGAAGGCUUUCGGGUUGUAAACUUCUUUUCUCAGGGACGAAGCAAGUGACGGUACCUGACGAAUAAGCCACGGCUAACUACGUGCCAGCCGCCGCGGUAAUACGUAGGUGGCAAGCGUUAUCCGGAUUUACUGGGUGUAAAGGGCGUGUAGGCGGGAAAGCAAGUCAGAUGUGAAAGCCAUGGGCUCAACCUGUGGCCUGCAUUUGAAACUGUUUUUCUUGAGUACUGGAGAGGCAGACGGAAGUCCUAGUGUAGCGGUGAAAUGCGUAGAUAUUAGGAGGAACACCAGUGGCGAAGGCGGUCUGCUGGACAGCAACUGACGCUGAGGCGCGAAGGCGUGGGGAGCAAACAGGAUUAGAUACCCUGGUAGUC